CCUACGGGAGGCAGCAGUGGGGAAUAUUGCACAAUGGGGGAAACCCUGAUGCAGCGACGCAGCGUGCGUGAAGAAGUAUUUCGGUAUGUAAAGCUCUAUCAGCAGGGAAGAAAAUGACGGUACGUGAUUAAGAAGCCCCGGCUAACUACGUGCCAGCAGCCGCGGUAAUACGUAGGGGGCAAGCGUUAUCCGGAUUUACUGGGUGUAAAGGGAGCGUAGACGGCAGGACAAGUCUGGAGUGAAAUGCCGGGGCUUAACCCCGGAACUGCUUUGGAAACUGUGCAGGUAGAGUGAAGGAGAGGUAAGUGGAAUGCCUAGUGUAGCGGUGAAAUGCGUAGAUAUUAGGAGGAACACCAGUGGCGAAGGCGGCUUACUGGACUGUAACUGACGUUGAGGCUCGAAAGCGUGGGGAGCAAACAGGAUUAGAUACCCCAGUAGUC
Molecule: ribosomal RNA, 440 nt
Filed under: uncultured bacterium
Lineage: Bacteria
Description: partial 16S ribosomal RNA
Rfam family: Bacterial small subunit ribosomal RNA
Source: RNAcentral